This 406-nucleotide ribosomal RNA is filed under the name uncultured bacterium. RNAcentral describes it as "partial 16S ribosomal RNA". It matches the Rfam family "Bacterial small subunit ribosomal RNA", at positions 28 to 526 of the family's 1533-position model. The record is from RNAcentral.
GACGAACGCUGGCGGCGUGCCUAAUACAUGCAAGUCGAGCGAGCGGCGGACGGGUGAGUAAUGUCUGGGAAACUGCCUGAUGGAGGGGGAUAACUACUGGAAACGGUAGCUAAUACCGCAUACCAUCAGAUGUGCCCAGAUGGGAUUAGCUAGUAGGUGGGGGAAUGGCUCACCUAGGCGACGAUCCCUAGCUGGUCUGAGAGGAGGACCAGUGACACGGGAACUGGGACACGGUACAGAGUCCUACGGGAGGCAGCAGGGGGGAAUAGUGCACAAUGGGCGAAAGCCUGAAGCAGCCAUGCCGGGUGUGUGAAGAAGGCCUGCGGGUUGUAAAGCACUUUCAGCGAGGAGGCGUUACUCGCAGAAGAAGCACCGGCUAACUCCGUGCCAGCAGCCGCGGUAAUAC